Molecule: unclassified non-coding RNA, 477 nt
Filed under: Hevea brasiliensis (rubber tree)
Lineage: Eukaryota; Viridiplantae; Streptophyta; Magnoliopsida; Malpighiales; Euphorbiaceae
Source: RNAcentral
UAAGUAUGCACACUUCAUUCCUCUUCAACAUCCAUUUACUGCUUCUGGUGUUGCCAAAACAUUUGUGGAUACAAUCUUCAAGUUACAUGGCCUGCCUCAAUCAAUAGUGUCUGACAGGGACAGAGUUUUUACCAGUUUAUUUUGGAGGGAAUUAUUUAAAACUUUGGGGACUUCUCUUGCUUAUAGCACUGCCUAUCACCCACAAUCAGAUGGCCAAUCUGAGAGAAUCAAUCAGUGUGUACCGUACAGUGGGCUCUGGGGAGGGUUGAUAUGCGCAGCCUUAUCCCUGCUUUACCAAGAAGCUGUUGAACCUUAGAAAAUUACGGACAAUUAUUUUUUGAAUUCUAGACAUUCUAGGUAUAAUCUGUAUCUACUGAAUUACUAAAGUGCAUUGUUUUUUCUUCAUUUAAUGUGAAUAAAUAUGAAAAGAAAGGAAUAAUUUCUGAGUCUGGAGUUUCUAAGAUUUUGUUUUUGUGG